UACUAGAAAGAGAAGUCAUGUUUAUUUAUGAAGCCAUUUGCAUGGUGUAGUCUCUCAUUGUUGAAUUUCACAUGCCUUAAACUCACAGUGUGAGGGGAACCGAAAAGCCCCAAGUUUAGAGCAUGUGAGAAAGGAAAUGAAGUUCUGGAACAGCUGUUCUCUGGGUUAUUUUUCAGCCUGACUACAAAGCAGGGAGCUGUACUUUGACCACAAGAGUUUUGCUUCCUUUUCAGAGGCGCACUGUGUAUGUGGCUGGAGGAAACGCGAGAAAAUUCGGUGGCGGGCCUUUGUAAAUUGUGAAGCACCAGGCGACAGAAACGUUUUGUUGGCACAGAAGAAUUUUUGCUGGUCUCAGGAGACACUGGGUAACUGGUGACGUGCAGACUGACUCUUGCUGAGUCGCAGGACCGAGAGCCUUCACCAUCCUUCUCAACCUUCCCGUGAAGGCUGUGGCAUCGUGCGUGGAGGUCUCUGCUCUGACCUCUCGGCUCUGGCCCUUGUCCCAUCUUUCACGAGCAAGCCAACCCAGCGAGAGGACAGAUGUGAGUGGACAUUGCCAACCUCUGGACGGGAGCGAUUGCGCAGCUUGGGAAGGGGGCCCCGUGUGACGCAUGAACGGGAAGAUCUGGAAGGGCUGUUGAGGAGAAUUGCGGAUGUCAGCUUUGUCUGACAUCACAGCCAAUAAAAACUCACACCAGCACA
Long non-coding RNA from Felis catus (domestic cat), 702 nucleotides. RefSeq lists it as uncharacterized. The record is from RefSeq and is a predicted model, not a curated record. Lineage: Eukaryota; Metazoa; Chordata; Mammalia; Carnivora; Felidae. The transcript has 2 exons.